CUAGCGGUUAGCGGUACCGAGUUGGGCCGGUCGGCCUGUCGAGUUUCCCGGGCUGAUUUUUAGUCCCAGUCCACCCCUGGAUGAUGUACAUAUGGAUGUUUUCUU
This is a long non-coding RNA of Notothenia coriiceps (black rockcod), 105 nucleotides long. RefSeq lists it as uncharacterized. Lineage: Eukaryota; Metazoa; Chordata; Actinopteri; Perciformes; Nototheniidae. The record is from RefSeq and is a predicted model, not a curated record. The transcript has 3 exons.